RNAcentral lists this ribosomal RNA (369 nucleotides) under Gephyromantis mitsinjo. Its description in RNAcentral is "partial 12S ribosomal RNA". It matches the Rfam family "Bacterial small subunit ribosomal RNA", at positions 866 to 1400 of the family's 1533-position model. Lineage: Eukaryota; Metazoa; Chordata; Amphibia; Anura; Mantellidae. The record is from RNAcentral.
AAAACGCCCGGGAAUUACAAGCGCAAGCUUAAAACCCAAAGGAUUUGACGGUGUCCCACCCACCUAGAGGAGCCUGUUCUAUAAUCGAUGAUCCACGAUACACCUCACCAUUUUUUGCCUUCCUCAGCCUGUAUACCUCCGUCGACAGCUUACCAUUUGAGUGCCAUAAAGUAGGUUUAAUAGGCCAUGCACGCCAAUACGUCAGGUCAAGGUGCAGCCCACAAAAUGGAAAGCAAUGGGCUACAAUUUCUAAUACAGAACAAAUGAAAAAUUAUCUGAAAUGAUACUAUGAAAGCGGAUUUAGUAGUAAAAGAAGAACAAUAAGCUUCUUUUAACAAGGGCCUGGGACGUGUACACACCGCCCGUCAC